RNAcentral lists this ribosomal RNA (710 nucleotides) under Solanum tuberosum (potato). Its description in RNAcentral is "rRNA LSU_rRNA_eukarya". It matches the Rfam family "Eukaryotic large subunit ribosomal RNA", at positions 33 to 631 of the family's 3401-position model. Lineage: Eukaryota; Viridiplantae; Streptophyta; Magnoliopsida; Solanales; Solanaceae. The record is from RNAcentral.
ACUACUCCACAUAUCAAUAAGCGGAGGAAAGGAAACUUACAAGGAUUCCCUUAGUAACGGCGAGUGAACCGGGAACCCGCCUUAGAAUCGGGAGGUUCCAUCGUCUAAAUUGUAGUCAGGAGAAGCGUCCUCAGCGACAGCCGGGCCCAAGUCUCCUGGAAGGGGGCGCCAGAGACGGUGAGAGCCCCAUUGUUCUCGGACCCUAUCGUACCACGAGGCGCUGUCUACAAGUCGAGUUGUUUGGGAAUGCAGCCCAAAUCGGGGGGUGAAUUCCGUCCAAGGCUAAAUACGGGUAAGAGAUCGAUAGCGAACAAGUACUGCGAGGGAAAGGUGAAAAGGACUUUGACAAGAGAGUCAAAGAGUGUUUGAAAUUGUCGGGAGGGAAGCGGAUGGGAGCCGGCGAUGUACCCCGGUCGGAUGUGGAAUGGUGAAGAGCCUGUCCGCCGAUCGACUCGGGGAGUGGAUCAGCGUUAAUUGGGGGGGAGACCAAAACCUGUACUAGGAUCAACUGCACAUCCAUUUAUCAAGUUGGCACUCUUUCCUUCCAAAAACAUACUCCACUCAACAGCAUGAGCAUCAUCAUAUGUAAACAAGUGAUAGAGAAAGGUGUCUCGCAAAUAAACCUCCUCUAGGGUGUUUUCAUGUGUAUGACUACCAAUAGGCUCAAAAACAUUGGUCAUACUAUGAAGGAGUGAAACACACCCAGAAAA